This is a long non-coding RNA of Gavialis gangeticus (Gharial), 106 nucleotides long. RefSeq lists it as uncharacterized. NCBI's taxonomy places the organism in Eukaryota, Metazoa, Chordata, Crocodylia, Gavialidae. The record is from RefSeq and is a predicted model, not a curated record. The transcript is spliced from 3 exons.
UUUUCUACUCCUUGCACUGGGAGACUGCUGCUAUGUGUUCUCCAAGGCAGAAAAGAAGCUAAAGUAAGAAAGAAGUCUAUGAAAAUACAAAUGAUUGGAAGUUUGG